RNAcentral lists this ribosomal RNA (231 nucleotides) under uncultured bacterium. Its description in RNAcentral is "partial 16S ribosomal RNA". It matches the Rfam family "Bacterial small subunit ribosomal RNA", at positions 119 to 334 of the family's 1533-position model. The record is from RNAcentral.
UACAACCUGCCCUUCAGAGGGGGACAACAGUUGGAAACGACUGCUAAUACCGCAUACGAUCUAACCUCGGCAUCGAGGAUAGAUGAAAGGUGGCCUCUAUUUAUAAGCUAUCACUGAAGGAGGGGAGUUGCGUCUGAUUAGCUAGUUGGAGGGGUAACGGCCCACCAAGGCGACGAUCGGUAGCCGGACUGAGAGGUUGAACGGCCACAUUGGGACUGAGACACGGCCCAG